UACGUAGGGUGCGAGCGUUAAUCGGAAUUACUGGGCGUAAAGCGUGCGCAGGUGGUCAUGCAAGACAGAUGUGAAAUCCCCGGGCUUAACCUGGGAACUGCAUUUGUGACUGCACGGCUAGAGUGCGGCAGAGGGGGAUGGAAUUCCGCGUGUAGCAGUGAAAUGCGUAGAUAUGCGGAGGAACACCGAUGGCGAAGGCAAUCCCCUGGGCCUGCACUGACGCUCAUGCACGAAAGCGUGGGGAGCGAACAGG
RNAcentral lists this ribosomal RNA (253 nucleotides) under uncultured bacterium. Its description in RNAcentral is "partial 16S ribosomal RNA". It matches the Rfam family "Bacterial small subunit ribosomal RNA", at positions 524 to 776 of the family's 1533-position model. The record is from RNAcentral.